UGGGGAAUAUUGGCACAAUGGGCGCAAGGCCUGAUGCAGCCAUGCCGCGUGUGUGAAGAAAGGCCUUCGGGUUGUAAAAGCACUUUUCAGCGAGGAGGAAGGUGGUGAACUUAAUACGUUCAUCAAUUGACGUUACUCGCAGAAGAAGCACCGGCUAACUCCGUGCCAGCAGCCGCGGUAAUACGGAGGGUGCAAGCGUUAAUCGGAAUUACUGGGCGUAAAGCGCACGCAGGCGGUUUGUUAAGUCAGAUGUGAAAUCCCCGGGCUCAACCUGGGAACUGCAUUUGAAACUGGCAAGCUAGAGUCUCGUAGAGGGGGGUAGAAUUCCAGGUGUAGCGGUGAAAUGCGUAGAGAUCUGGAGGAAUACCGGUGGCGAAGGCGGCCCCCCUGGACGAAGACUGACGCUCAGGUGCGAAAGCGUGGGGAGCAAACAGAUUAGAUACCCUGGUAGUCCACGCUGUAAAACGAUGUCGAUUUUGGAGG
RNAcentral lists this ribosomal RNA (483 nucleotides) under uncultured bacterium. Its description in RNAcentral is "partial 16S ribosomal RNA". It matches the Rfam family "Bacterial small subunit ribosomal RNA", at positions 355 to 824 of the family's 1533-position model. The record is from RNAcentral.